GCCCAGGUGGUGAAAUUGGUAGACACGCCAUCUUGAGGGGGUGGUGAUCACUUGAUCGUGCUGGUUCGAAUCCAGUCCUGGGCA
RNAcentral lists this transfer RNA (84 nucleotides) under Phaeocystidibacter luteus. RNAcentral's name for it is "Flavobacteria bacterium PG2S01 tRNA". It matches the Rfam family "tRNA". From Rfam's summary of the family: Transfer RNA (tRNA) molecules are approximately 80 nucleotides in length. Their secondary structure includes four short double-helical elements and three loops (D, anti-codon, and T loops). RNAcentral also lists the same sequence under 1 other name. The record is from Rfam by way of RNAcentral. Lineage: Bacteria; Pseudomonadati; Bacteroidota; Flavobacteriia; Flavobacteriales; Phaeocystidibacteraceae.